Molecule: long non-coding RNA, 761 nt
Organism: Sapajus apella (tufted capuchin)
Lineage: Eukaryota; Metazoa; Chordata; Mammalia; Primates; Cebidae
Exons: 3
Source: RefSeq, a predicted model, not a curated record
UUGUUUUGUUUUUUCCUGAGUUAGUCAUUUUCAAGAGAACUGAUGGUGUAGCUCUACCCUGAAGGUUGGCAUUCUUGGAACCCUGGAAGAAUUGAUGUUUUAGCUCAAUUCCAAAGGCAGGAAAAUAAAAAGCUGAUGUCCCAGUUUGAAGGUCAUUGGGCAGGAGGAAAUCUUUCUUACUCAGAGAAGUUCCAGCUUUUUGUUCUAUUCAAUCCUUCAACUGAUUGGAUGAAGCUCAUUCACAUUAGGAAGGAUAACUGCUUUAUGUAGUUAAUUUUAUCCAAAAAUGCCCUCACAGAAACAACCAAAUGUUUGACCAAAGGUCUGAGUGCCCCAUGACCCAGUCCAACUGACACAUAAAAGUGACCAUGACGAGCCAAGAGUUUUUGCUGUUUUCAUGUUGAUUUUUCAUGACAAGAGGAGAAGCUGUGUGAAUGCUUAUUUUGUUUUUUCUCUUUUUCUUCAACUUACAGUUCAAUGUGAUUAAAGGAUAAAGGAUGAAUGUGUGAAGACUGAAAAGACAAGUUCUGGCUAUUCCUUUGAGGGUCUCAUUUGUGAAGCUAAGGCAUGUGAACCUUCCCUCUGGUGUUAAGGACCCAUCAAGAUCGUUAAGUAAUGGAGGUGAUCAAAUCAUUUACUGUUUCACUGGCAUAAGAACCAACCCUUGAGAAGACUAUACAGAGGUACAGUGCAACUUUUUCUUCUAAAGGUAUUGAACUGUAAUAAACAUAUUAUGACUAAAAGAGACUUUAACAAAAUUU